Molecule: long non-coding RNA, 616 nt
Filed under: Sorghum bicolor (sorghum)
Lineage: Eukaryota; Viridiplantae; Streptophyta; Magnoliopsida; Poales; Poaceae
Description: long non-coding RNA (SBIC_LNC000327)
Source: RNAcentral
UCGCUACUAUCUAGAUCUACUCUAGUUUAGAGAAGAGAGGAGAGCUCUCAUCUCUAAACCCUAGCUUUUGCUCUGUCUAUGAAUAAUGAAUAAUGAUCAAAGGGGUGCCUCCUCCAGGGGCCAGGGGGUCUGGUUUUAUAGUCCCCUCAAUUGAACCUGGGCCGUCGGAUCAAACCGACAUUGAUUGAACGGUUAUUCUUGAUCCUUUAGGUCGGUGGAGCAUAAUCUGCGAGAUUGAGCGUGAUUGGCUGAAAAAGGUGGGCGGGCGCCCUAAGGACUUGGGCGGGCGCCCUGUCCCUGACUCCGUUCGGUCUCCGCUUCCUUCCCGUGGCUUCUGGAGUCUUCUAGAUGUAAGAUAAUUGCGCGGCACGUUGAUAUCUCUAUGUAAUCCCGACGUGUGGGCCUUUCCUCCUUAUUUCCUGAUAAACCCCUGCAGAAAUAGACAAACACCAAAACUCGUGGAAUUCUGUCAGAUAAAACCCUAAGUCUUGAUGUUGAUUUCAUUUGGAUCCUUUUCUUUGUUUAUUUGAUAGUUAAAUUUGAUACUUAAGGACCGUCAACAAACUCCCCCAAGCUUACCUCUUGCUCGUCCCGGAGCAAGGAUAGACUCAGCUAU